This 27-nucleotide non-coding RNA is filed under the name Rattus norvegicus (Norway rat). Lineage: Eukaryota; Metazoa; Chordata; Mammalia; Rodentia; Muridae. The record is from RNAcentral.
UGUCAACACCAGCACCGGCCUCGGUUU